Molecule: small nuclear RNA, 154 nt
Organism: Heterocephalus glaber (naked mole-rat)
Lineage: Eukaryota; Metazoa; Chordata; Mammalia; Rodentia; Bathyergidae
Gene: U2
Rfam family: U2 spliceosomal RNA
About the family: U2 is a small nuclear RNA (snRNA) component of the spliceosome (involved in pre-mRNA splicing).
Source: Ensembl
AUCGCUUCUCGGCCUUUUGGCUAAGAUCAAGUGUAGAAAAGUACCAAUCUAAAAUUCAUUAAUAAAAAUAUCCACUAAAAAGGUAGGAAAUGAGCCAGGCUUGAUGGCACAUAUCUGUUAUCCCUGAACUCCGGGAGGAUGAGGGAAUAAGAUU